This 462-nucleotide ribosomal RNA is filed under the name uncultured bacterium. RNAcentral describes it as "partial 16S ribosomal RNA". It matches the Rfam family "Bacterial small subunit ribosomal RNA", at positions 28 to 507 of the family's 1533-position model. The record is from RNAcentral.
GACGAACGCUGGCGGCGUGCUUAACACAUGCAAGUCGAACGGAAAGGCCCUUCGGGGUACUCGAGUGGCGAACGGGUGAGUAACACGUGGGUGAUCUGCCCUGCACUUUGGGAUAAGCCUGGGAAACUGGGUCUAAUACCGAAUAGGACCACGCGCUUCAUGGUGUGUGGUGGAAAGCUUUUGCGGUGUGGGAUGGGCCCGCGGCCUAUCAGCUUGUUGGUGGGGUAAUGGCCUACCAAGGCGACGACGGGUAGCCGGCCUGAGAGGGUGACCGGCCACAAUGGGACUGAGAUACGGCCCAGACUCCUACGGGAGGCAGCAGUGGGGAAUAUUGCACAAUGGGCGCAAGCCUGAUGCAGCGACGCCGCGUGAGGGAUGACGGCCUUCGGGUUGUAAACCUCUUUCACCAGGGACGAAGCGUAAGUGACGGUACCUGGAGAAGAAGCACCGGCCAACUACGUG